UACAGAGGGUGCAAGCGUUGCUCGGAAUUAUUGGGCGUAAAGGGUAGGUAGGUGGUCUCAUUUGUCGGGGGUGAAAGCCUUGGGCUUAACCCAAGAAGUGCCUUCGAAACGGUGAGACUGGAGUCCUGGAGAGGGUCGUGGAAUUCCCGGUGUAGCGGUGAAAUGCGUAGAGAUCGGGAGGAACACCAGCGGCGAAGGCGGCGACCUGGACAGGUACUGACACUCAACUACGAAAGCGUGGGGAGCAAACAGG
RNAcentral lists this non-coding RNA (253 nucleotides) under uncultured bacterium. Its description in RNAcentral is "partial 16S ribosomal RNA". It matches the Rfam family "Bacterial small subunit ribosomal RNA", at positions 524 to 776 of the family's 1533-position model. RNAcentral also lists the same sequence under 1 other name. The record is from RNAcentral.